Molecule: ribosomal RNA, 481 nt
Filed under: uncultured bacterium
Lineage: Bacteria
Description: partial 16S ribosomal RNA
Rfam family: Bacterial small subunit ribosomal RNA
Source: RNAcentral
GACGAACGUUGGCGGCGUGCUUAAUAUAUGCAAGUCAACUGAAGCAGUGGUAGCAAUAUCGCUGUGGAGGUGGCGCACGGGUGAGUAACACGUAGGUAAUCUGCCUUCAGGUCUGGCAUAACUCCGGGAAACCGGGGCUAAUAGCAGAUGAUGCAGCGGCUCGACAUCGAGACAGUUGUUAAAGCUAUGGCGCCUGAAGAUGAGCCUGCGUCUGAUUAGCUAGUUGGCGGGGUAACGGCCCACCAAGGCAACGAUCAGUAGCUGGUCUGAGAGGAUGAUCAGCCACACUGGAACUGAGACACGGUCCAGACUCCUACGGGAGGCAGCAGUAAGGAAUAUUGCCCAAUGGGAGAAAUCCUGAAGCAGCAACGCCGCGUGAGGGACGAAGGGCUUUUGCUUGUAAACCUCUGUAGUGAGAGAAAAAAAUCCCAAUCUUUGGGACAUGAUGGUAUCUCAAAAGUAAGCCCCGGCUAACUACGUG